GACGAACGCUGGCGGCGUGCCUAAUACAUGCAAGUGGGACGCAAGGGAACACACUGUGCUUGCACACCGUGUUUUCUUGAGUCGCGAACGGGUGAGUAACGCGUAGGUAACCUGCCUAUUAGCGGGGGAUAACUAUUGGAAACGAUAGCUAAUACCGCAUAAUAUUAAUUAUUGCAUGAUAAUUGAUUGAAAGAUGCAAGCGCAUCACUAGUAGAUGGACCUGCGUUGUAUUAGCUAGUUGGUAAGGUAAGAGCUUACCAAGGCGACGAUACAUAGCCGACCUGAGAGGGUGAUCGGCCACACUGGGACUGAGACACGGCCCAGACUCCUACGGGAGGCAGCAGUAGGGAAUCUUCGGCAAUGGACGAAAGUCUGACUGAGCAACGCCGCGUGAGUGAAGAAGGUUUUCGGAUCGUAAAGCUCUGUUGUAAGUCAAGAACGUGUGUGAGAGUGGAAAGUUCACACAG
Molecule: ribosomal RNA, 467 nt
Filed under: Streptococcus mutans
Lineage: Bacteria; Bacillati; Bacillota; Bacilli; Lactobacillales; Streptococcaceae
Description: bacterial SSU rRNA
Rfam family: Bacterial small subunit ribosomal RNA
Source: RNAcentral